This 491-nucleotide ribosomal RNA is filed under the name Oceanobacillus picturae. RNAcentral's name for it is "bacterial SSU rRNA". It matches the Rfam family "Bacterial small subunit ribosomal RNA", at positions 28 to 486 of the family's 1533-position model. The record is from RNAcentral. Lineage: Bacteria; Bacillati; Bacillota; Bacilli; Caryophanales; Bacillaceae.
GACGAACGCUGGCGGCGUGCCUAAUACAUGCAAGUCGAGCGCAGGAAGCAAGUUGAUCCCCUUCGGGGGUGACGCUUGUGGAAUGAGCGGCGGACGGGUGAGUAACACGUGGGCAACCUGCCUGUAAGACUGGGAUAACCCCGGGAAACCGGGGCUAAUACCGGAUAAUACUUUCUUUUGCAUAAAGGAAAGUUGAAAGGCGGCUUCGGCUGUCACUUACAGAUGGGCCCGCGGCGCAUUAGCUAGUUGGUGAGGUAACGGCUCACCAAGGCGACGAUGCGUAGCCGACCUGAGAGGGUGAUCGGCCACACUGGGACUGAGACACGGCCCAGACUCCUACGGGAGGCAGCAGUAGGGAAUCUUCCGCAAUGGACGAAAGUCUGACGGAGCAACGCCGCGUGAGUGAUGAAGGUUUUCGGAUCGUAAAACUCUGUUGUUAGGGAAGAACAAGUUGGGUAGUAACUGACCCAACCUUGACGGUACCUAACCAG